This 1239-nucleotide long non-coding RNA is filed under the name Musa acuminata (dwarf banana). RNAcentral describes it as "long non-coding RNA (MACU_LNC006361)". Lineage: Eukaryota; Viridiplantae; Streptophyta; Magnoliopsida; Zingiberales; Musaceae. The record is from RNAcentral.
UUCAAUGACGGAAUACACACUUGUGGAACAUUCAAGAGAGCAUGCUCAUUAAGGCUUAUUAGAACCUGGGGAAGUUGUUCCUGGCUUGAUACAAGAAUAUUUCUCACCAACUUAUACAUAAUUACCAUACUGCACCAGUAGAAGAUAAAAGGCAAGCAGUGUAAGGAAGACUUCAACAGAUUCAAUAUAUAAUGAUAACGAAAAGUGAACGAAUCAAAAAAGAUUCACUGAUAGUUUAUUACCUUAAAAAAAUAUAUGUUUCUUAUCUUCAGUGUUGCGUGUCACAGUGGCUCAGAUGCAUUCGCGGUGCACUUAGAUUCCCGAUACCAGACCAGCCAACCACGUAUCCAAUAAAAUACUCCAUUGGGACAAGCCGAUGUAGCAAUCAUAAUCAUGUGCUGUACAAACGUAUGGCUGUUAGAUUCAUGGCAUCUUAGAGAGGGCCAGCUUUGAGAGUCGGUGAUAACAUAAAAAUAUUAUCAACUGGUGAGCAAAGCAACAAGAGAUUGCCCGUCGUUUGAUAGGUAGAACAGCUAAGACAGACAGAAGAAGAAUAUUAGGUUUCCUACGAUGGUAUGAUGUGAAUAAGAACUUGGUGUGGCGAAACAAAGCAAGUGUUGUAGUAGUGGCAACAAAACGUACACGUACUGAGAAGAAAUAAAUGGACGACGAGAAGUCAAACUCACAAAUGGCUAAUGCAAAGGAUCUUCUAUUAAACAAAAGGACACAUUCAAAAGGUUGGUGGAAAUGGACAUAAAGAUAAUAUGUGUUCUCCCAGGAAAAAGAAAUAAUACAACCUCUUGCGUGAAGAAUAAUAUUAAGUGGCCUUCACGCCAGUAAAUGAUAAAGCAGGAGAUAACAACAGCAAAAUGAAAAUGAAGCUUUCUAAUGUGCCUUCAAUUAUUCAUUUUAGCUAAAUUUCUUCAAAAUAUAGUAUAAAAGAAUAUAUUUGUUCCGUUCACAAUUAAUUAGCACAAGAAUAGAAUAGAUCGACAGUGAAAUGAACUCAUUCAGAUAAGUUAUCAUGCCAAUAAAUUAUGUAUAUGAGAUGCAUAUCUCCUCUUGCCUUUGUGCAAUGGUACAACUGGAUUCAGGUGAUCUUUGCUUGCAAAGAUAAAGCUACCAACAUUAACCUUUCCUAUAUUCUGCAUUGUGAGAGCCUCAUGCACUUAUAUUAUCUUUUACUUAGGUGUAUUGAUAACAAAGCAUCCACAAAGAUCGGCAUCAACCGUAUGAAUA